RNAcentral lists this long non-coding RNA (1702 nucleotides) under Delphinapterus leucas (beluga whale). Its description in RNAcentral is "lncRNA (ENSDLEG00000013170.1)". Lineage: Eukaryota; Metazoa; Chordata; Mammalia; Artiodactyla; Monodontidae. The record is from RNAcentral.
AUGGGUGCUAAUCGCCCGCUCGCCAGCCGCCGUUCAGUCGCAGUACUCACAGUUCACGGGACACUGAGCGCCGCGGACUCGGAGCCCCCCCCCCCCCCCGCCCCCGCAGAGUCAUCACCGCAACGCGCAGAGGAUCCCGGGCUCCCGUCCCCGCUCUGUCGGAUGGGGCCGGAACCGGUCUGUCAGGCCGGCGGUGGAGCCGGGAAGCAGCGGGGAGCGAGCCUGCAGCCUCCCCGCCUGCCAACCCCGCUCGUCUUUGCUGCUACUCGAGUUGCGUCCAAUUCACGUUCCAGCCACUCACUCCAGACCCAGCUUCUGCUCCGGCUGCCCAGGCAAACGAAAACUGGCAACAUCAAAAAUACAUACUGUGCAGGGAGAGGGGGAAGAUGGCGGAAGAGUAAGACGUGGAGAUCACCUUCCUCCCCACAGAUACAUCAGAAAUACAUCUACACGUGGAACAGCUCCUACAGAACACCCACUGAACGCUGGCAGAAGACCUCAGACCUCCCAAAAGGCAAGAAACUCCCCACGUACCUGGGUAGGGCAAAAGAAAAAAGAAUAAACAGAGACAAAAGAAUAGGGACAGGACCUGCACCAGUGGGAGGGAGCUGUGAAGGAGGAAAGGUUUCCACACACUAGGAAGGCCCUUCUCGGGUGGAGACUGUGGGUGGCGAAGGGGGAAAGCUUCGGCGCCGCGGCAGAGAGCGCAGCAACAGGGGUGCGGACGGCAAAGUGGAGAGAUUCCCACACAGAGGAUUGGUGCUGACCAGCACUCACCAGCCUGAGAGGCUUCUCUGCUCACCCGCUGGUGCGGGCGGGGGCUGGGAGCUGAGGAUCCGGCUUCGGUCGGAGCGCAGGGAGAGGACGGCGGUUGGCAGCAUGCACACAGCCUGCAGGGGGUUAGUGCACCAUGGCUAGCCUGGAGGGAGUCAGGGGAAAGUCUGGACCUGCCGAAGAGGCAAGAGACUUUUUCUUCCCUCUUUGUUUCCUGGUGCACGAGAAGAGGGGAUUAAGAGCACUGCUUAAAGGAGCUCCAGAGACGGGCACGAGCCGAGGCUAUCAGGGCAGACCCCAGAGACGGGCAUGAGAUGCUAAGACUGCUGCUGCCGCCACCAAGAAGCCUGUGUGCAAGCAUAGGUCACUACCCCCACCUCCCAUCCCGGGAGCCUGUGGAGCCCGCCACUGCCAGGGUCCCGGGAUCCAGGGACAACUUACCCGGGAGAACGCACGGCGCGCCUCAGGCUGGUGCAAAGUCACGCUGGCCUCUGACACCACAGGCUUGCCCCGCAUCCAUACACCUCCCUCCCCCCGCCGGAGUGAGCCAGAGUCCCCGAAUCAGCGGCUCCUUUAACCCCGUCCUGUCUGAGGGAAGAACAGAUGCCCUCAGGCGACCUACACACAGAGGCGGGGACAAAUCCGAAGCUGAACCCCAGGAGCUGUGCGAACAAAGAAGAAAAAGGGAAAUCUCUCCCAGCAGCCUCGGGAGCAGAGGAUUAAAUGUCCACAAUCAACCUGAUGUACCCUGCAUCUGUGGAAUACCUGAAUAGACAACCAACCAUCCCAAAUUGAGGAGGUGGACUUUGAGAGCAAGAUAUAUAAUUUUUUCCCCUUUUUCUCUUUUUGUGAGUGUGUAUGUGUAUGCUUCUGUGUGAGAUUUUGUCUGUAUAGCUUUGCUUUCACCAUUUGUCCUAGGGCUCUGUCC